This 22-nucleotide microRNA is filed under the name Cordylochernes scorpioides. The record is from RNAcentral. Lineage: Eukaryota; Metazoa; Arthropoda; Arachnida; Pseudoscorpiones; Chernetidae.
AGUACGGCGCUCCAGUGGCAAG